GGCGUAAAGGGCUUCGCAGGCGGUUUUUUAAGUUUUGAAUGUGAAAGCCCCCGGCUUAACCGGGGAGGGUCAUUUGGAAACUGGGAAACUUUGAGUGCAGAAGAGGAGAGUGGAAUUCCACGUGUAGCGGUGAAAUUGCGUAGAGAUGUGGAGGAACACCAGUGGCGAAGGCGACUCUCUGGUCUGUAACUGACGCUGAGGAGCGAAAGCGUGGGGAGCGAACAGGAUUAGAUACCCUGGUAGUCCACGCCGUAAACGAUGAGUGCUAAGUGUUAGGGGGUUUCCGCCCCUUAGUGCUGCAGCUAACGCAUUAAGCACUCCGCCUGGGGAGUACGGUCGCAAGACUGAAACUCAAAGGAAUUGACGGGGGCCCGCACAAGCGGUGGAGCAUGUGGUUUAAUUCGAAGCAACGCGAAGAACCUUACCAGGUCUUGACAUCCUCUGACAACCCUAGAGAUAGGGCUUUCCCUUCGGGGACAGAGUGACACGUGGUGCAUGGUUGUCGUCAGCUCGUGUCGUGAGAUGUUGUGUUAAGUCCCGCAACGAGCGCAACCCUUGAUCUUAGUUGCCAGCAUUCAGUUGGGCACUCUAAGGUGACUGCCGGUGACAAACCGGAGGAAAGUGGGGGAUGACAUCUAAUCAUCAUGCCCCUUAUGACCUGUGCUACACACGUGCUACAA
Molecule: ribosomal RNA, 680 nt
Filed under: Bacillus pumilus
Lineage: Bacteria; Bacillati; Bacillota; Bacilli; Caryophanales; Bacillaceae
Description: bacterial SSU rRNA
Rfam family: Bacterial small subunit ribosomal RNA
Source: RNAcentral